Molecule: long non-coding RNA, 385 nt
Organism: Gossypium arboreum
Lineage: Eukaryota; Viridiplantae; Streptophyta; Magnoliopsida; Malvales; Malvaceae
Exons: 3
Source: RefSeq, a predicted model, not a curated record
UAGUUUGCACACAAGAUUGGCUUCGGAAAUCUAGUGAUGCCAUCAAUCUUGAAGAUUAUGUUGAUGAACUUCAAAUCAUGGAAGACGAUUUAUUCAAAAUACCCGAAGAUCAAGAAGAUGUUUCAAGAUUAUCAACAGUGAUUGAAGCACAAGAAAGAAGUUAAACCAUUCUAUAAUGGUUUUUGAACUGAUGUUAGUUUGGUUUGGUUUGUUAUUGUUGUUGGAUAAUUGAGCUUUUGUUGUGUUCUUUUUUUUUGGACUGGUGUAGGUUUUUAUUGUAUUUUAGACUUUUAAUUAUGUUUUUUUAUUACAAUGUUGUUGUAUUGUUUUUGUUUUUUAUUUGGACUCAUGAAGAAACUUAAACUAUUCUAUAAUGGUUUUUGAA